GAGAUUUAUCCUGGCUCAGGAUAACGCUGGCGGCGUGCUUAACACAUGCAAGUCGAACGAUGACCCCAGCUUGCUGGGGGAUUAGUGGCGAACGGGUGAGUAACACGUGAGUAACCUGCCCCCGACUCUGGGAUAAGCCCGGGAAACUGGGUCUAAUACCGGAUAUUCUCCUUCCGCCGCAUGGCGGGGGGUGGAAAGCGGUUUAGCGGUCGGGGAUGGACUCGCGGCCUAUCAGCUUGUUGGCGGGGUAACGGCCCACCAAGGCGACGACGGGUAGCCGGCCUGAGAGGGUGACCGGCCACACUGGGACUGAGACACGGCCCAGACUCCUACGGGAGGCAGCAGUGGGGAAUAUUGCACAAUGGGCGAAAGCCUGAUGCAGCGACGCCGCGUGAGGGAUGACGGCCUUCGGGUUGUAAACCUCUUUCAGUAGGGAAGAAGCGAAAGUGCGGUACCUGCAGAAGAGCG
Molecule: ribosomal RNA, 468 nt
Filed under: Arthrobacter sp. 045-4.3-CV-A-10
Lineage: Bacteria; Bacillati; Actinomycetota; Actinomycetes; Micrococcales; Micrococcaceae
Description: bacterial SSU rRNA
Rfam family: Bacterial small subunit ribosomal RNA
Source: RNAcentral